GACGAACGCUGGCGGCGUGCCUAAUACAUGCAAGUAGAACGCACAGUUUAUACCGUAGCUUGCUACACCAUACACUGUGAGUUGCGAACGGGUGAGUAACGCGUAGGUAACCUGCCUGGUAGCGGGGGAUAACUAUUGGAAACGAUAGCUAAUACCGCAUAAUAUUGAUUAUUGCAUGAUAAUUGAUUGAAAGAUGCUAUUGCAUCACUACCAGAUGGUCCUGCGUUGUAUUAGCUAGUAGGUGAGGUAACGGCUCACCUAGGCGACGAUACAUAGCCGACCUGAGAGGGUGAUCGGCCACACUGGGACUGAGACACGGCCCAGACUCCUACGGGAGGCAGCAGUAGGGAAUCUUCGGCAAUGGACGAAAGUCUGACCGAGCAACGCCGCGUGAGUGAAGAAGGGUUUCGGAUCGUAAAGCUCUGUUGUAAGAGAAGAACGGGUGUGAGAGUGGAAAGUUCACACUGUGACGGUAUCUUACCAGAAAGGGACGGCUAACUACGUG
This 505-nucleotide ribosomal RNA is filed under the name uncultured bacterium. RNAcentral describes it as "partial 16S ribosomal RNA". It matches the Rfam family "Bacterial small subunit ribosomal RNA", at positions 28 to 507 of the family's 1533-position model. The record is from RNAcentral.